RNAcentral lists this ribosomal RNA (403 nucleotides) under uncultured bacterium. RNAcentral's name for it is "partial 16S ribosomal RNA". It matches the Rfam family "Bacterial small subunit ribosomal RNA", at positions 29 to 526 of the family's 1533-position model. The record is from RNAcentral.
AUUGAACGCUGGCGGCAGGCCUAACACAUGCAAGUCGAGCGAGCGGCGGACGGGUGAGUAAUGUAUGGGGACUGCCCGAUAGAGGGGGCUAACUACUGGAAACGGUGGCUAAUACCGCAUACUCUCGGAUAACCCAUAUGGGAUUAGCUAGUAGGUGGGGUAAAGGCCCACCUAGGCGACGAUCUCUAGCUGGUCUGAGAGGAUGAUGCGCCACACUGGGACUUGGACGAGGCCCAGGCUCCUACGGAGGGAGCAGUGGGGAAUAUUGGACAAUGGGGGCAAGCCGUAUGAAGCCAUGCCGCGGGUACGAAGAAGGCCUUAGGGUUGGAAAGUACUUUCAGCGGGGAGGCGUUACCCGCAGAAGAAGCACCGGCUAACUCCGUGCCAGCAGCCGCGGUAAUUC